GAGCGUUCUAAGGGCUGUGAAGCCAGACCGGAAGGACUGGUGGAGCGCUUAGAAGUGAGAGUGCCGGUACGAGUAGCGAAAGAGGGGUGAGAAUCCCCUCCACCGAAUGCCUAAGGUUUCCUGAGGAAGGCUCGUCCGCUCAGGGUUAGUCGGGACCUAAGCCGAGGCCGAAAGGCGUAGGCGAUGGACAACAGGUUGAUAUUCCUGUACCACCUCCUCACCAUUUGAGCAAAGGGGGGACGCAGGAGGAUAGGGUAAGCGCGGUAUUGGAUAUCCGCGUCCAAGCAGUUAGGCUGGGAAAUAGGCAAAUCCGUUUCCCAUAAGGCUGAGCUGUGAUGGCGAGCGAAAUAUUGUAGCGAAGUUCCUGAUUCCACACUGCCAAGAAAAGCCUCUAGCGAGGUGAGAGGUGCCCGUACCGCAAACCGACACAGGUAGGCGAGGAGAGAACCCUAAGGUGAUCGAGAGAACUCUCGUUAAGGAACUCGGCAAAAUGACCCCGUAACUUCGGGAGAAGGGGUGCUCUGUUAGGGUGCAAGCCCGAGAGAGCCGCAGUGAAUAGGCCCAGGCGACUGUUUAGCAAAAACACAGGUCUCUGCGAAGCCGUAAGGCGAAGUAUAGGGGCUGACGCCUGCCCGGUGCUGGAAGGUUAAGAGGAGCGCUUAGCGUAAGCGAAGGUGCGAAUUGAAGCCCCAGUAAACGGCGGCCGUAACGAUAACGGUCCUAAGGUAGCGAAAUUCCUUGUCGGGUAAGUUCCGACCCGCACGAAAGGCGCAACGAUCUGGGCACUGUCUCAACGAGAGACUCGGUGAAAUUAUAGUACCUGUGAAGAUGCAGGUUACCCGCGACAGGACGGAAAGACCCCGUGGAGCUUUACUGCAGCCUGAUAUUGAAUGUUGGUACAGCUUGUACAGGAUAGGUAGGAGCCUUGGAAACCGGAGCGCCAGCUUCGGUGGAGGCAUCGGUGGGAUACUACCCUGGCUGUAUUGACCUUCUAACCCGCCGCCCUUAUCGGGCGGGGAGACAGUGUCAGGUGGGCAGUUUGACUGGGGCGGUCGCCUCCUAAAAGGUAACGGAGGCGCCCAAAGGUUCCCUCAGAAUGGUUGGAAAUCAUUCGCAGAGUGUAAAGGCACAAGGGAGCUUGACUGCGAGACCUACAAGUCGAGCAGGGACGAAAGUCGGGCUUAGUGAUCCGGUGGUUCCGCAUGGAAGGGCCAUCGCUCAACGGAUAAAAGCUACCCCGGGGAUAACAGGCUUAUCUCCCCCAAGAGUCCACAUCGACGGGGAGGUUUGGCACCUCGAUGUCGGCUCAUCGCAUCCUGGGGCUGUAGUCGGUCCCAAGGGUUGGGCUGUUCGCCCAUUAAAGCGGUACGCGAGCUGGGUUCAGAACGUCGUGAGACAGUUCGGUCCCUAUCCGUCGCGGGCGCAGGAAAUUUGAGAGGAGCUGUCCUUAGUACGAGAGGACCGGGAUGGACGCACCGCUGGUGUACCAGUUGUUCUGCCAAGGGCAUCGCUGGGUAGCUAUGUGCGGACGGGAUAAGUGCUGAAAGCAUCUAAGCAUGAAGCCCCCCUCAAGAUGAGAUUUCCCAUUCCGCAAGGAAGUAAGAUCCCUGAAAGAUGAUCAGGUUGAUAGGUCUGAGGUGGAAGUGUGGCGACACAUGGAGCUGACAGAUACUAAUCGA
This 1679-nucleotide ribosomal RNA is filed under the name metagenome. Its description in RNAcentral is "bacterial LSU rRNA". It matches the Rfam family "Bacterial large subunit ribosomal RNA", at positions 1234 to 2908 of the family's 2925-position model. The record is from RNAcentral.